UAGGGAAUCUUCGGCAAUGGGGCGACCUACGACCGAGCAACGCCGCGUGAGUGAAGAAGGUUUUCGGAUCGUAAAACUCUGUUGUUAGAGAAGAAUGUGUAGGAGAGUAAAAAGUUCUUACAGUGACGGUAUCUAACCAGAAAGGGACGGCUAACUACGUGCCAGCAGCCGCGGUAAUACGUAGGUCCCAAGCGUUGUCCGGAUUUAUUGGGCGUAAAGCGAGCGCAGGUGGUUUAAUAAGUCUGAUGUAAAAGGCAGUGGCUACAACCAUUGUAUGCAUUGGAAACUGAUGACUUGAGUACAGUAGAGGAGAGUGGAAUUCCAUGUGUAGCGGUGAAAUGCGUAGAUAUAUUGGAGGAACACCGGUGGCGAAAGCGGCUCUCUGGACUGUGACUGACACUGAGGCUCGAAAGCGUGGGGUAGCAAAACA
RNAcentral lists this ribosomal RNA (430 nucleotides) under uncultured Lactococcus sp. RNAcentral's name for it is "bacterial SSU rRNA". It matches the Rfam family "Bacterial small subunit ribosomal RNA", at positions 355 to 775 of the family's 1533-position model. Lineage: Bacteria; Bacillati; Bacillota; Bacilli; Lactobacillales; Streptococcaceae. The record is from RNAcentral.